GGCUCACCUCGGUCCUGAUCCUGUUCCUGAUGUAUCUCGGGAUCAUGGCGCUGUGGCGUGCCGUGGAAGAUCCCGCGCGCGCGGCGCGCGCGGCGGCGAUCCUGACGUUGGUCGGCGCGAUCAAUAUUCCGAUCAUCAAGUUUUCGGUCGACUGGUGGAACACGCUGCAUCAGGGCGCAUCGGUGAUCCGCGCCGGCGGGCCGACGAUGGACCGCGCGUUCCUCAUUCCGCUGCUCAUCAUGG
Molecule: unclassified non-coding RNA, 243 nt
Filed under: Hevea brasiliensis (rubber tree)
Lineage: Eukaryota; Viridiplantae; Streptophyta; Magnoliopsida; Malpighiales; Euphorbiaceae
Source: RNAcentral